GUGAUCAGGCUCAGUCUCCAUCCAAAAGCCAGGGCCAAGCUCAGUCUCCAUCAGGUAAUAAUAACCAGGCUCAAUCUCCUCAGGGCCAGCAGUCUCAAUCUCCUCAGGGCCAGCAAGGUCAGCAGGGUCAGGCUCCCCAGCAGUCUCCUCCUCCUUCCCAGCAGUCUCAGUCUCCCCAGUCUCAGUCUCCUCCUCCCCAGCAAUCUUCUCAGUCUCCUUCUCCCAGCAGCCAGUCUCCACCACCCUCUCAGCACUCUCAGUCUCCAAGCCCCUCCAGCAAGCCUCCCACCUCCUCCUCCUCCUCCUCCUCCUCCUCCUCCUCCUCCUCAUCCCCACCAACCUCCUCCCCCGCCUCCUCCCCCAAACACUCAUCUUCCGACUCUUCUUCCACCUCAUCCCCCACCAGCUCCUCCCCACCGGCUCCCCCAACCUCCGAGACUGCCGCCGCCCCAGCUGGCUCCCCAACCGCUACCGCCGCCUCUCCCGGACCAGCAUCCGCUGCCACCCGCGUCUACGCUGCGGGAUCUGUGGCAGCCGUCGCCGUCGCUGCAUGGCUCUUGCACUAAAUGGAGGAGGACGUAAGAUGACGUCAUGGUUCGGUUUGGUUUAUUUUUGGCGCACUCAUCAGAGACGAUCGCGGUUUAGGGUUUUAGAAUAACUUGUUUAAUAUUUAUUUAUUAUAUUCCUGAACAGAAUUUAUAAUUCCGGGUGAUAUUGAUGGGACUGUGGUGAUUUGGUUGUACGGUGGAGGAUGUUGAUAUUGUUUGAUUAUUAUUAUUAUAAGCCGCUUUGUUAUUGAUUAUAAAUUAAUAUUACUGCGGAUUUAUGGAUUUAAUUGAUUUGAUUAAUGAAGAUUUGAUUUAAGUUUUUUUUUUUUUUUUUUUUUUCAUUCUCGAUGAAAUCGAUUUGAUUAAGGUUGUGAGGUGGUUUAUGUAGUUUUUUGAUUUGAUGUGGCCAGUUGAGUACGGAAACGCUUCA
Molecule: long non-coding RNA, 978 nt
Filed under: Fragaria vesca (wild strawberry)
Lineage: Eukaryota; Viridiplantae; Streptophyta; Magnoliopsida; Rosales; Rosaceae
Description: long non-coding RNA (FVES_LNC002338)
Source: RNAcentral